GUCAGAAUUUGCGGUUCGUAGUGUUGCAAUUACUAAAUAACGGGAUAUGCUUUUAAGAGCUCACGUUAAAAAUACUUGAAGCUAAAUACUCGGAAUUUUCAAUUUUCCAAAAAAAAAAAAAAAAAAAAAAUUCUAAGAAAAAAGAUUAAGAGCUGUUCCGAGAUUCCGAUCGUGUUUUUCGCCAAACUCACUGUUGCUGUUCCUGUUUUGUUGUCAACUGCUCAUCAGCUAACACGCCAUCAUUAAUCGCCGCCAGGCUUUGAGGUCACAUUUGUUUGUUUUCGAUUUCUGUUUUCGGGUGCGUCUACUUGGCAUCUCUGCGGCCCAACGAGUAGAUCGCUUCAUUCGUCUACAUCAUUACUCAUUUCUGACAUCUGGUAUUUGGCAUUCUUUUGGAAUAAUCAAAGAAAAAAAAAAGCAUACACAAAUCGUGAACAAGAACAACACCAAGUCAGCAAAAACAUGCGUUCACCGGCUUUAGCAUUUGUCAUGUGCGUCGCGUUGGCCAUGGCGAUUAUGACGCAGGCGGAACACAAUGCGCAUUGCAAGGAAUUGAAUCAAGUCAACUGCUACAUGGGUCAGAACGAGGGCUACUUCUGUAAUAAGAAUCAGCACACGGUCACACAGACGCGCUGGUUCUUCGAUAAGGGCGCUUGCAGAAAAUUCCAAUACAAGGGUUGCUAUGGCAACCGGAAUCGCUUUUGCACGAAGGAGGCUUGUGAACGCCGCUGUUUGAAUUAAGUGGCGAGUGGAUGGGUCAAUUUGAAUUCGAUGAUUGAAUUGGAGCAAGAGAACAAAAGCAAGAAGGAUGAGUGCGUGUGAAGUGGCGAGCAGACAAUUGCGUUGUGAACAGCGUUCAAAUGAGGUGGAACACAAAAAUCCGCAGUGCCAGAAAGCCUGGAAAUUUUAUAUUUUGUCAUUUAUGUAGAGUAAUAUUUGAACACUUCAAUUUAGCAAUAUUUUAGUAUGCAUGUCUGUAUGUAAAAUAACUUCUCUUAUAUAAGAUUUUGUAAAUAAUAUAUGUAGUUUUUAACUAAUACUUAAUGUGUACAUAGAUAUAUGGUAGCAUUAAUUAAACUAAAAAUAUAUGUGAAACGCAUUUAAUGGAUUGCAAA
Molecule: RNA transcript, 1115 nt
Organism: Ceratitis capitata (Mediterranean fruit fly)
Lineage: Eukaryota; Metazoa; Arthropoda; Insecta; Diptera; Tephritidae
Gene name: kunitz/BPTI-like toxin
Exons: 3
Source: RefSeq, a predicted model, not a curated record